UUACGUAAUAGUAUAUUACGAUACAAGUGCACAAAAGAGGUAAUUCGCAACGAGUGGCGAUAAAGAAAAAUACGACCGAAGGGAGUGUUUUUAAUCGACACGAGUUGCGAAUUACCUAUUCCCACAUCUAUCGUACAUUUUACAGUAGAUAUGGCCCUUAAAAUUUUCGACAUAGUUACGUAAUGUGCUAAUUAUCGCACUAGUGCGGUAAAGUAGCACCAUAUGUACUGUAAUAGUUAUUUACGAUACAAGUGCGGAAAAGAGGAAAUUCGAAACGAGUGGCGAUAAAUUAAAACACGACCGAAGGGAGUGUUUUAAAUCGACACGAGUUGCGAAUUACCUAUUUGCACGUGUAUCGUACAACGUUUUACAGUACAUAUGGCCCUUUACACUUU
Cydia splendana is the source of this 395-nucleotide long non-coding RNA. RefSeq lists it as uncharacterized. The transcript is spliced from 2 exons. The record is from RefSeq and is a predicted model, not a curated record. Lineage: Eukaryota; Metazoa; Arthropoda; Insecta; Lepidoptera; Tortricidae.